UACGGAGGGUGCUAGCGUUGUUCGGAAUUACUGGGCGUAAAGGGCGCGUAGGCGGCCUGGUCAGUCGGAUGUGAAAGCCCCGGGCUCAACCUGGGAAUGGCAGUGGAAACUAGCGAGCUAGAGUGUGUCAGAGGGGGGUGGAAUUCCACGUGUAGCAGUGAAAUGCGUAGAGAUGUGGAGGAACACCAAUGGCGAAGGCAGCCCCCUGGGAUAACACUGACGCUCAGGCACGAAAGCGUGGGGAGCAAACAGG
RNAcentral lists this ribosomal RNA (253 nucleotides) under uncultured bacterium. RNAcentral describes it as "partial 16S ribosomal RNA". It matches the Rfam family "Bacterial small subunit ribosomal RNA", at positions 524 to 776 of the family's 1533-position model. The record is from RNAcentral.